GGGGGUUUAGCUCAGGGGUAGAGCGCUCGCUUUGCAUGCGAGAAGUCGGGGGUUCGAAUCCCUCAUCCUCCA
This is a non-coding RNA of Enterobius vermicularis (human pinworm), 72 nucleotides long. NCBI's taxonomy places the organism in Eukaryota, Metazoa, Nematoda, Chromadorea, Rhabditida, Oxyuridae. The record is from Rfam.